UACGUAGGGGGCUAGCGUUGUCCGGAAUCAUUGGGCGUAAAGAGCGUGUAGGCGGCCCGGUAGGUCCGCUGUGAAAGUCGGGGGCUCAACCCUCGAAUGCCGGUGGAUACUGUCGGGCUAGAGUGCGGAAGAGGCGAGUGGAAUUCCUGGUGUAGCGGUGAAAUGCGCAGAUAUCAGGAGGAACACCGAUUGCGAAGGCAGCUCGCUGGGACGUUACUGACGCUGAGACGCGAAAGCGUGGGGAGCAAACGGG
This 253-nucleotide ribosomal RNA is filed under the name uncultured bacterium. RNAcentral's name for it is "partial 16S ribosomal RNA". It matches the Rfam family "Bacterial small subunit ribosomal RNA", at positions 524 to 776 of the family's 1533-position model. The record is from RNAcentral.